This 406-nucleotide ribosomal RNA is filed under the name uncultured bacterium. RNAcentral describes it as "partial 16S ribosomal RNA". It matches the Rfam family "Bacterial small subunit ribosomal RNA", at positions 29 to 526 of the family's 1533-position model. The record is from RNAcentral.
AUUGAACGCUGGCGGCAGGCCUAACACAUGCAAGUCGAACGAGUGGCGGACGGGUGAGUAAUGUCUGGGAAACUGCCUGAUGGAGGGGGAUAACUACUGGAAACGGUAGCUAAUACCGCAUACCAUCGGAUGUGCCCAGAUGGGAGGAGCUAGUAGGUGGGGGAAAGGCUCACCUAGGCGACGAUCCCUCGCUGGUCUGAGAGGAGGACCAGCCAGACUGGAACGGAGACACGGUCCAGACUCCGACGGGAGGCAGCAGUGGGGAAGAUUGCACAAGGGGCGCAAGCCUGAUGCAGCCAGGCCGCGUGUAUGAAGAAGGCCUUCGGGUUGUAAAGUACUGUCAGCGGGGAGGCGUUACCCGCAGAAGAAGCACCGGCUAACUCCGUGCCAGCAGCCGCGGUAAUUC